This 158-nucleotide transfer RNA is filed under the name Stackebrandtia nassauensis DSM 44728. RNAcentral describes it as "tRNA-Und (NNN) (tRNA-Und-NNN-4-1)". The record is from RNAcentral. Lineage: Bacteria; Bacillati; Actinomycetota; Actinomycetes; Glycomycetales; Glycomycetaceae.
GGGGCCACCGGGCUCAGCGCGACACCAACGGUGGAUGGAGCCCGUCACUUCGACUUGUUCGCGUGAUCGAAGGGGCUUGAGGAAAGGCACAGCGAACUGCACCCGGAGAAGCCUUACUGAACCGGCGGAGGACCUGGGUUCGAUUCCCAGCGGCUCCA